Long non-coding RNA from Myotis brandtii (Brandt's bat), 664 nucleotides. RefSeq lists it as uncharacterized. The transcript is spliced from 2 exons. The record is from RefSeq and is a predicted model, not a curated record. NCBI's taxonomy places the organism in Eukaryota, Metazoa, Chordata, Mammalia, Chiroptera, Vespertilionidae.
AUGACGAUGCUGCUUAUGAAAAAGUUCUCAUGACUUGGGGAAUGCCACGUGUAUCAACUAUUUCCUUUCCUACUCAAGAGAAAAUACGAAUUCUUUGAUGAUGGAGGAGCGAGCUGCGUGCAAUGGUGUCCGAGGGAGUCGGAAGAGCAGGGGGUUCCACUGGAACGAAAGGUCUGUGAGGUCGCAGUCCGGAGGCCAGGACCCCGGCCCUCCGUCGCCCACAGCGCAGCCGUCACCAGCUGCCGGGCGUUCCUGUCUUUGGGAACUCAGCUCAGGCCACUUCCUACAUAGACCUUCUCCGUCCCUCCCGCACCUGGAUGGCUGCUCACUUCCUUGACCUUUCCCCUCGGUGCCCAGUUUAGCUGUGUUUGCGUUUUUUUUGUUUUAUCCUUUUGGAGUGUAAGGUUCUAGAUGUUGCAGUAGGAACUGCAUCUUACAUGGCUGGCAUCCCUUGUAGCAUCUUAAACAAAGUAAGCACUCAUUCAUUCAUUCAUUCACUCAUUCAUUCAUUCAAGUGAAAUUGGCCAACGGGCUGCUCUGUGCCUGGUGCUGCUGUAGGUGCUCGGGGUAUAGAAUGAAAGUCUCUGUUUUUAUUGAGCUCUUUUGGUGUUAGAAUUGCUGCUUCUUUGAUUAAUGUAUUGAUUUAAAAAAAAGUCUAAAUUUG